RNAcentral lists this ribosomal RNA (433 nucleotides) under uncultured bacterium. RNAcentral describes it as "partial 16S ribosomal RNA". It matches the Rfam family "Bacterial small subunit ribosomal RNA", at positions 29 to 507 of the family's 1533-position model. The record is from RNAcentral.
AACGAACGCUGGCGGCAUGCCUAACAUAUGCAAGUCGAACGAGACCUUCGGGUCUAGUGGCGCACGGGUGCGUAACGCGUGGGAACCUGCCCUUAGGUUCGGAAUAACUCCCCGAAAGGGGUGCUAAUACCGGAUAAUGUCUUCGGACCAAAGAUUUAUCGCCUUUGGAUGGGCCCGCGUUGGAUUAGCUAGUUGGUAGGGUAAAAGCCUACCAAGGCGACGAUCCAUAGCUGGUCUGAGAGGAUGAUCAGCCACACUGGGACUGAGACACGGCCCAGACUCCUACGGGAGGCAGCAGAGGGGAAGGCUGCGGAAGGGGUGAAAGUAUGACGGACCCAUGCCGCGUGAAUGUGGAAGGUCGUAGGAUGGGAAAAUUCUUUCAACGGGGACGAGAAUGACGGUAGCAGGAGAAGAAGAGCCGUCUAACUGGGUG